Molecule: microRNA precursor, 59 nt
Filed under: Sphenodon punctatus (tuatara)
Lineage: Eukaryota; Metazoa; Chordata; Lepidosauria; Sphenodontia; Sphenodontidae
Description: Spt-Mir-133-P2_pre stem-loop
Rfam family: mir-133 microRNA precursor family
About the family: mir-133 was first experimentally characterised in mouse and homologues have since been discovered in several other species.
Source: RNAcentral
GCUGGUCAAACGGAACCAAGUCCGUCUUCCCUGGAGGUUUGGUCCCCUUCAACCAGCUA